This 253-nucleotide ribosomal RNA is filed under the name uncultured bacterium. Its description in RNAcentral is "partial 16S ribosomal RNA". It matches the Rfam family "Bacterial small subunit ribosomal RNA", at positions 524 to 776 of the family's 1533-position model. The record is from RNAcentral.
UACGUAGGUCGCAAGCGUUGUCCGGAUUUACUGGGCGUAAAGCGCGCGCAGGCGGCACUUCAAGUAAGGUGUGAAAUCUCCCUGCUCAACGGGGAGGGUGCACUUUAGACUGAGGAGCUAGAGGACGGUAGAGGGGGGUGGAAUUGCUGGUGUAGCGGUGAAAUGCGUAGAGAUCAGCAGGAACACCCGUGGCGAAGGCGGCCCCCUGGGCCGUACCUGACGCUGAGGCGCGAAGGCUAGGGGAGCGAACGGG